Molecule: long non-coding RNA, 292 nt
Organism: Myzus persicae (green peach aphid)
Lineage: Eukaryota; Metazoa; Arthropoda; Insecta; Hemiptera; Aphididae
Exons: 2
Source: RefSeq, a predicted model, not a curated record
CUCAUCAUCAAAUUGAGGAGGGAUUUCAACAGAUUAAAAUCCAUGCCCAAAAUAAUAAUGUUUUGAUGCCAAGAUUUUUUACAUAUUUUAACAGUUUUUGGCUCACUCGAAAAGGUCCAGAGUGCUUUUCAGUAUUCAAUCAACCGCGGCGCACCAAUAACAACGUUGAAUGUUUUCAUUCAAGUCUUAAACAGACUUUUCAGGUGACACACCCAAAUUUGUGGAGAAUGUUGGGUGAGUUUUUUUUACUAAUUUUUCAAAUUAAAAAAAAUAGUAAAAUGUGGAUAAAAAA